Boleophthalmus pectinirostris (great blue-spotted mudskipper) is the source of this 2643-nucleotide long non-coding RNA. RefSeq lists it as uncharacterized. The record is from RefSeq and is a predicted model, not a curated record. The transcript is spliced from 6 exons. Lineage: Eukaryota; Metazoa; Chordata; Actinopteri; Gobiiformes; Gobiidae.
ACAUUUCCUCCACACAUUCAGACCUACAUAAUACCACACCAUGGCACCACCCUGAGUCCGUGCGGCUCGGCGCUGCUCGGCCUGGUUCUUCUCGGCCCGUGUGCUUGUGAUGGCGGAGGAUUGUUUGAAGUGACCGAGACCUGCGCCUCAUCUGGACUUGGUCACGGUUUCAGAUUUCUUCAUGAAGAUUAUGAAACGGGCCCUUUUUAUAAUCACAUGCACCGUUGAUUUACAAACUCCCUGGACUUGUUCUCGAGGCGUGUUGAGCGACCACUCCUCCACUCCUGCACCAUUUCUUCUAUCCUGCUACUCCCUCCAGAACGAAAACAUCAGCCAUCUGGUCCAGGGUUCAAAGGUCAACUCUCAGGCUGAUCUUGUUGAAAUUCAGGUGGUGGGUAGAGACACCUCCUCAGCCCACAGGAACUCAAAUUGUUUGCGAGCACCAUUCUGUGAGAGGCAGCUUUCCAAAUGCUUCAUGCGCCCGUCAUAAGAUGUGUAGAUGGAUGAGGCCUAGAUGGUGUACCUCUCAGUCACCCACUUUACCCCCGCCCCAUUCGCUCCCCAGUGGCCCGGUGAUGGAUUGCAGACCGCAGGGGUGAAGGUGGAGAGGUGGAGGGGAGGUGCGGCUGCUGUGUUUUCGGGUGAAGUUUUUGUCAUGCGAGCGAGCUAGCGGCGGAGAUGGACGAGGCAGGACGGGUGAAAGGGGAAAAGCAGCAGAGCCACACGGAGCAGAGCCUGGACACAUCACACUGAAGGAGAAGCGUCAGACAAGACACAGACACGGGCGAUGAGAAAUGGCCCACAGAGGAACACAGGUGAAGAUCAUCUCAUUUGUCCAAACUUCACAUCAUUGCCGAUUAUUAAAAAGAAAAGCCCCCCCAGCCCCCUUUUAUUUUUAAUGAGUUGAAAAUCAAUUAAUCCCUCCUAACACAGACAUCGGGGUUUAGUCACUGUUUGAAAAUGUGUAAGUUCUCCUACAAGCAUUUUGUCUUGUCUUAUUCCUGGAUGUUAACAAUACUUUCCCUGCAUACUACAGCCAUAAAAAUAAUGAAAAAAAUUUUUAAUAAUAAUGUUGGACGUAUAAAAUAAUGAUAACUAUGACUGACAGUAUAAAUAUUGCAAUUAUAGUAAGUUUCUCUAUAUAUCUUUGGAGAAACACUUCUUCACAUUGUACUUAUUAGCCAUUUGUAGCUACUUCGGGUCUUAGGUGGGUAACAUUUUCUUAUAUUUGAUGAUAUGUUUUGUUGACUAAUGGCACUGUAUUCUUAUGUAACAGAAUCACUUUAUACUUGUUGGGAAGAUUUUUCUGCAAAAUACACAAACAAACUGCACAUUAGCUGUUACAGUCAGAUUCUGUUGUAGAAAAGUAUAAAUCUAAGUGCACUCAGUUCACAGAGAAAGGUCAAAAAAGAAGAUAAAAUCAGAGCAGAGAAUGACUUUAUAGAGACAUAUCAGAUAGAGACACAUCUGGAAAGUCAACACACAGUGUAGAUUAGGCCUACAUGCAGAUAAAAUCUUUGAAAACAAUAAUCUGGUCUUUUAUGUCAAACAUCAACAUUGAUUCAUUUUCAGGAGGAAAUAUGUUGUUUGUUGCUAAAAUAAUUUGAACUUUUCAACGUUCCAUUAGUUUGGGUUCACAUCGAAUCUGUGAUUUGAAGGAUUAAAUGGAGGAUUACAUUUAUUUCCACAUCAAAGCAAAAUGAAGCGAAACAAAAUCAAGUGUUGCAGCUAUAGUUGGAUCCUAGACCUGAUUCAUGUACUUUGGAUCAGAUACAGACUGUAUCUGGUCCAAAGUACAUUCUACUGUCUCAUGCAAUAUACUAUCAAUCAUCUGUCAUAAGUAACAGAAAUUAUAGAGACAGAUAAGAGAAACAAACAGAGUGGAGCUGGGUAGUUUAACAAGAUUCAAGAAUCAUAGGGGCAGAGGGACUCACCUUUUGUCCCUCUCAUGUAAUUCUCAUAUCUAGAAACAUCAUAUAAUACCUUUGUAUAUGAGUGUACAGUGAUAAAACACAGAACUUUUUGUAUGUUGUGGUCUGUUGUGUUCAUUGAACUAUGCAGUCCAUACUAAAUAUUUGACCAAAGCACAAUAUAUAUUUUUUGUGAAUAAUAUUUUAUCUGCUUAUUCAGAGUAGAGAGACAGAUGCAGGACAAACCCCUAUAUUCCCUCUAUAAUUGCAUUUGGCUGUAGUCAGUAGCCAAACACAUUUCGUGGUAACUUUCAAAUGAUAAUGCACGAUCACUAGUUGGAUUAAAUCACCUCACUUUGCUGGGAAUGUUCCUCCUGAGAACCACAUUACCACGGUGAUAAGGUCCUGCCCUUUCCUCUCUGCCCUUUGACCUUUGCUCUCUUCCAAGGCGGCAUGAGCCCUGAGUCAAACAGAAUCCCCCAAAACAAUGACAGCAGAAAUGUGUGAUAAAAAUAGAUGGCGCUGCUGGGUCUGUUUUGCUUGAAUUGGGCCUUUUAAGCAGGAGUCAGGACUUUGUGGUAACUUUUGCAGGAGGAGGUCAUAUUCUGUAUGCUUGUUUUUGUUUUCUGUGUUUUUCUGUGUACCUCAAAUGCAAUCUCACCUGAAGAGUAUGAAAAAGAAUGAUGAACAAUAUGAUAAUAAAAUGUAUGUCAUUUUUUAUGUAAAUACCAAA